CGAAAGCGAGUCUUAAUAGGGCGCUUUAGUCAGUAGUGGUAGACGCGAAACCGUGUGUGAAGAUGCCGAUUACCCGCAGUGGGACGAAAAGACCCUGUGCACCUUUACUAUAGCUUAGUAUUGUUCUUGGAUAAGUGAUGUGUAGGAUAGGUGGGAGACUGUGAAAUGGCGUCGCUAGGCGUUGUGGAGUCAUUGUUGAAAUACCACCCUUUGCUUAUUUGAGAUCUAACUCCUUGUGUAAGGAGGACAUUGCUUGGUGGGUAGUUUGACUGGGGUGGUCGCCUCCAAAAGAGUAACGGAGGCUUCUAAAGGUUCCCUCAGCACGCUUGGUAACCGUGCGUAGAGUGCAAUGGUAUAAGGGAGUGCCUUCGCAAUUGGUAUUCCAUGUAAUAUCUAAGCAUUUCACCGCUACACUACAUAUUCUAGUUACUUCCAUAUUAUUCAAGCUCUGCAGUAUCAAUGGCCGUGUCCUAGUUAAGCUAGGAAAUUUCACCACUGACUUACAAAGCCGCCUACGAACCCUUUAAACCCAAUAAUUCCGGAUAACGCUCGGAUCCUCCGUAUUACCGCGGCUGCUGGCACGGAGUUAGCCGAUCCUUAUUCUUACAGUACCGUCAAGUCCCUACACGUAGGGAGGUUUCUUCCUGUACAAAAGCAGUUUACAAUCCAUAGGACCGUCAUCCUGCACGCGGCAUGGCUGGUUCAGAGUUGCCUCCAUUGACCAAUAUUCCUCACUGCUGCCUCCCGUAGGAGUCUGGUCCGUGUCUCAGUACCAGUGUGGGGGAUCUCCCUCUCAGGACCCCUAAUCAUCGUCGCCUUGGUAUGCCGUUACCACACCAACUAGCUAAUGAUACGCAUGCCCAUCUUAUACCGAUAAAUCUUUAUUAUCAAUACGAUGCCAUAUCGAUAAACCAUGGAGCAUUAAUCCGAAUUUCUUCGGGCGGCGCUCGAGAGAUUCAUGGCUAAGGAACUAGGCAAAAUAGACCUGUAACUUCGGGAGAAAGGUCGCCAGCGCAAGC
Molecule: ribosomal RNA, 1019 nt
Filed under: Desulfovibrio sp. DS-1
Lineage: Bacteria; Pseudomonadati; Thermodesulfobacteriota; Desulfovibrionia; Desulfovibrionales; Desulfovibrionaceae
Description: partial 23S ribosomal RNA
Rfam family: Bacterial large subunit ribosomal RNA (bases 98-452)
Source: RNAcentral